UUAUGGCUCAGGAUGAACGCUAGCGGCAGGCUUAACACAUGCAAGUCGAGGGGCAUCGGGAGUAGCAAUACGUUGCCGGCGACCGGCGCAAGGGUGCGUAACGCGUGAGCAACAUGCCCGUAUCAGGGGGAUAAUCCAUGGAAACGUGGUCUAAUACCCCAUAGUAAUUAUGUAAGGCAUCUUAUAUAAUUUAAAGCUUUGGUGGAUACGGAUUGGCUCGCGUGACAUUAGCUAGAUGGUAAGGUAACGGCUUACCAUGGCUACGAUGUCUAGGGGUUCUGAGAGGAAGGCCCCCCACACUGGAACUGAGACACGGUCCAGACUCCUACGGGAGGCAGCAGUGAGGAAUAUUGGACAAUGGAUGGAAAUCUGAUCCAGCCAUGCCGCGUGCAGGAAAGACGGCCCUAUGGGUUGUAAACUGCUUUUGUAUGGGAGCAAUAAGGGCUACGCGUAGUCCGAUGAGAGUACCAUACGAAUAAGCACCGGCUAACUCCGUGCCAGCCGCUGC
This 508-nucleotide ribosomal RNA is filed under the name uncultured bacterium. RNAcentral's name for it is "bacterial SSU rRNA". It matches the Rfam family "Bacterial small subunit ribosomal RNA", at positions 17 to 518 of the family's 1533-position model. The record is from RNAcentral.